UAACCUGCCAAAGAGAUCGGGAUAACACCUGGAAACAGAUGCUAAUACCGGAUAACAACAGAUGAUGCCUAUCAACUGUUUAAAAGAUGGUUCUGCUAUCACUCUUGGAUGGACCUGCGGUGCAUUAGCUAGUUGGUAGGGUAACGGCCUACCAAGGCGAUGAUGCAUAGCCGAGUUGAGAGACUGAUCGGCCACAUUGGGACUGAGACACGGCCCAAACUCCUACGGGAGGCAGCAGCC
This 240-nucleotide ribosomal RNA is filed under the name uncultured Lactobacillus sp. RNAcentral describes it as "partial 16S ribosomal RNA". It matches the Rfam family "Bacterial small subunit ribosomal RNA", at positions 122 to 355 of the family's 1533-position model. Lineage: Bacteria; Bacillati; Bacillota; Bacilli; Lactobacillales; Lactobacillaceae. The record is from RNAcentral.